Molecule: long non-coding RNA, 330 nt
Organism: Musa acuminata AAA Group (dessert banana)
Lineage: Eukaryota; Viridiplantae; Streptophyta; Magnoliopsida; Zingiberales; Musaceae
Exons: 2
Source: RefSeq, a predicted model, not a curated record
GAGAACACAACGAAACAGAGAGAGGACACGGAGGAAAAGUAGAAGGAUUUGGGCUGGCACCUUCUUUGGAUCUUCGGAUCGAAAUCUUUGAAAGGUCAGCUUGUCACUCUUCGAGAUGUUUGAUUUGGGCUGAGGCAGUGGAUAGCUAUUCAGAAUAAUGGGCAAGUCUGGUUGGUUAUUACGAUAUUGUUGUAUAAGUAUGUCUUGUAUGUAAUGAAAUGUUGUCGAUGAACCGAAAUGGAUAUACUGUGUCAAAGUGUUAGGAGAUCUCUCUUAUUUGGAAUUUCAGAAUGUUAAGUCUAAUUUAUGGUGAUAUGAACUUGUGGUGAA